RNAcentral lists this ribosomal RNA (440 nucleotides) under uncultured bacterium. RNAcentral describes it as "bacterial SSU rRNA". It matches the Rfam family "Bacterial small subunit ribosomal RNA", at positions 338 to 794 of the family's 1533-position model. The record is from RNAcentral.
CCUACGGGAGGCAGCAGCAGGGAAUAUUGCGCAAUGGGCGAAAGCCUGACGCAGUAACGCCGCGUGGGGGAUGAAGGCCUUCGGGUUGUAAACCCCUUUCAGCAGGGACGAAAUUGACGGUACCUGCAGAAGAAGCACCGGCCAACUACGUGCCAGCAGCCGCGGUAACACGUAGGGUGCGAGCGUUGUCCGGAUUCAUUGGGCGUAAAGGGCUAGUAGGCGGCUUAGCAAGUCGGGUGUGAAAACUUCAGGCUCAACCUGGAGCGGCCAUCCGAUACUGCUAUGGCUAGAGUCCGGUAGGGGACCACGGAAUUCCUGGUGUAGCGGUGAAAUGCGCAGAUAUCAGGAGGAACACCGAUGGCGAAGGCAGUGGUCUGGGCCGGAACUGACGCUGAAUAGCGAAAGCGUGGGUAGCGAACAGGAUUAGAUACCCUUGUAGU